GUGCUCACUUUGGUGGUACACAUACUAAAACUGAAAUAAUUUAGACAAAAUUAGCAUGGCUGCUGCACAAAGAUGACAGGCAUUUUUGUGAUACUGUUUUAUUUUUG
Molecule: small nuclear RNA, 107 nt
Organism: Mesocricetus auratus (golden hamster)
Lineage: Eukaryota; Metazoa; Chordata; Mammalia; Rodentia; Cricetidae
Source: Ensembl